CUGGUCUACACAGGCCAAGUUUGAGAACAUAAAAUGUCACAGGGGUCAGGUGUGGGGGCUUGACAUUCUCAAUACAAAUGAUUUCUAGGCUUUUGUUUAAAAGCAUGUAACACCUGGAAACACGUAAUACAUGAACCAGCAUUAACUAUUGAUUGUUGAGCUAAAAUGUGUAUCUAGCCAUCCAUACCCUAGAAAGGUAAUGAAGGAAUGGAACAGAGACUAGGUUUCAGUAUCAGGGUUAUUCUGGCCUCUAACACAAGUUGGUGCUCAAUGCAGCUUAUUACCAACAGGCAACAAGAAGAUAGGCCCCUCAAUCCUACAACUAUAGGAUAUGAAUUCUGCCAGCAAACCUAGUCUAGAAGUGGAUUCUCCCUCAGCUGAACUUCCAGAUAAGAACGCAGCCCAGCCAACACCCUGAUGACACCCUCAUAAC
Molecule: long non-coding RNA, 433 nt
Organism: Symphalangus syndactylus (siamang)
Lineage: Eukaryota; Metazoa; Chordata; Mammalia; Primates; Hylobatidae
Source: RefSeq, a predicted model, not a curated record